This is an RNA transcript of Rhopalosiphum padi (bird cherry-oat aphid), 3548 nucleotides long. It is a transcript of the gene named importin-13, with no coding region annotated. The record is from RefSeq and is a predicted model, not a curated record. Lineage: Eukaryota; Metazoa; Arthropoda; Insecta; Hemiptera; Aphididae. The transcript is spliced from 19 exons.
UACUUAUUUAAUAAUUCUUAGUACUUAUUAGUUACUAAAAUUUUAAAUUUUAUAAUACAUUUGCUAUACAAUUGCUAAUUUUUUGGUAUAGACAAUAAUAUUAUUAUUAUUUAGUGUUAUCAAUAACUAUAAAUUAACUUUAAUGUAAUUUUGAUAUUCUAAACUAUUAUUUGUUUUAUUCAAUUCUCAACAUCAUUUUCAGAAUUUGAUGAACGUUAGAAUUGAAUAUUUAUGAUUUAUACAAAAACUCAUGUUCAUUUAUUUUUAACAUUAUAUUUUCAUUGAGAAACCAAUAAUGUCUCUAGAAACUGUUGAACAUGCUUUAGCUGAGUUCUAUUGCAAUCAGAAUGUGGAAGUUCAUAAAAUUUUAUUAGAUUUUCAAAACUCUGUAGAUGCCUGGAACCUUGUAUGGAGUAUGUUAGAUACAUCUAAACCUCAUGAGAUACAAUUUUUUGGUGCUACUACACUUCAUAUUAAAAUUACAAAACAAUGGCUACAAUUGAAAAGAACUGAUUAUGUGCUUCUUAGAGAUAAAAUAUUAGACACUCUAAUUAAAUACUACAAUUCAUCAGGACCAACGAAUGUAAUAAAUAAAUUAUGUUACUGUCUUUGUGCAUAUGUAGUCCGUACAAUACCACAUCAUUGGCCAGAUGCAAUUCCACAACUGAUGGAAACUUUUAGGAAUUCUCUAUCUCAAUCAUCUAUAAAUGUCAGUGUUAUGAUAUUAGAAAUAUUAAUGGCUCUACCAGACGAAUUUGGUGCAACCAAAUUAGUUCAUACACAGCGAAAUGAAGUAAGGAAAGAAUUACAACAAUCUUCUCUACAAGUUUUAUCUAUUGUGGAUAGUAUUCUUCAAAGCGACAGUUUAGACCCAAUUGUAGUGCAUGCUUUAAAAUGUGCUGCAGCUUGGUUGGAUAUAGGUUUUGAUCUCAUUAAAUGUCAUCAACUCACGGAUACAUUUAUAUCUGUCAUUUUAAACCCUGAAAGAAGUCAAGUAUGUGUUUUAUUGGCUAUUGAUGCUUUGAAAUCAUUGUGUACACACCCUCGUACAUCUGUAUGUGUGGCAACUGUAUUUGAAGUUUUAAGUAAAGUGAUAGUAUUAUCUGAUAAAUUAUUUCAUUUAGAAAUUACAGAAGAACCAAAUAUUGUAGUAGAUAAACUUUUUGAUCUAUUUUUGGGUAUUGGUGAUCAACAUUUUCGUCUAAUAGUACAAGGCCUUCUAAACGAUAAUACCAGAGAGUUAUGUACAAAAUUUUUUAAUUUAUAUUUAACUUGUACAAAUGCACCUGGUUAUUAUCCUGUAAAUGAAAAUUAUAGUGAGAAAACAUUUACAUUUUGGUUUUUAUUACAAGAUGAUUUAUUAUCAAAUGAUGCUGGUCCAGAUAAUACAUUACUAACUAUUGUUAAGCCAUUAUAUAUAUCCUUAACUCAAGUCUUAUUAAAAAAAGUUGCAUACCCCGAAAAUUUAGAAACAUGGACUCCAGAUGAAAGAGAAUUAUUUCGAUGUUAUAGACAAGACAUAUCUGAUACCUUUACUUACUGUUAUUUCAUCUUACAAUCUGAGAUGUUAGAUGUGUUGCUAACAAUCUACAAACAAGUAACAUGUGACCAUGAAACUGCAAUUGCACAAUGGCAAACGGUGGAGGCAUGUUUAUAUGCUUUCACUGCGAUAUCAGAACCUCUUCAAAGCCAUAAAUCCCAUCCUCAUAUAGAACAAUUAAUGUCAUCUUUAGUUUCAUUACCGUAUGAACAAAUAGAUCAAAAAGCUUCCAUAGCUGCUAUGGACACUAUUGGAGCAUAUUAUUAUUGGAUGAACACGCAUCCAUCCUAUUUAGAAUUAAUUGUACCUCUACUAAUGACGGGUCUUCAUAAUAGUAAUAUGUUCUCUUCAGCCUCUAUUGCUCUUAGAGAUAUAGCUAAAGAAUGCAGAAAAUCCAUUGCUCCUUACAAUGAUGUUAUAUUAAACACAGCAAUAGUUGUAUUAAAGAAAGUAAAAAAACUUAAAGAAGAAAUACGUUUAAUGAAUACUGUUGGAGUUAUUUUGUCAGUUACAUCAUAUCCAAAAAAUAAACCAUUUUUGGAUACAUUCAUUAAUCCUAAUUUGGAUGCUAUAGCAAAUAUAUUAGCUAUUGAGGAUAAUGCUGAAUUUACCAAACAUAGAUCACAGCUACAAGAUAGAAUCAAAGUUCUUAAUUCAUUAGUAUCAGCAAUCGAUAUAAACGUUGUAGUCUAUGAAAUAAUACAAAACAUUUUUAAUCUUCUUCAAAAGACGGGAAUGAAAUAUUUCAUUUCUUCUCCAGAAGAUACAUUAUAUGCUGAUGUUUGUGAAUUGUUAAAAACAAUUAUUUCCAAACUAAUGCAAGAAAGAGAAAACUGCGUGGUAGCUACAACUAUGGUUAUUGAAAUUCUUAUGAUUGGAUUUAGAAAAUCCCCACAACCAGCAGGCUUGAUACUUUUCAAAGAAGCAGUUAUAAUGUUUGGACAAUAUGAGGCAAGUAUUCCACUUCUUAAAUCUACGUAUGAAGAAAUUUGUAUGAGAGUAAAAUUUAUGUUUGAACAAGCAUCUCCUGCUGAUCAGUUUAAUCUUGGAGAUGUAAUUGAAGCUUAUUUAUCUCUUCAAGGGCAUAUAUUUAGAAAAUGGCCAUUUAUUGCUGUGGAUAAUCCAAAUGUAGAUUUUAUAUUUGUUUUCAAACUAGCCUCUGAAGCAUUAUGUGCUAAUGAAAUAUUUCUGGCAAAAACAGCAACAUUUUUUUUAACUGCAUUUAUAAAUUCAAGUAGAGAACAUAGAUCAUUAUUUAAAGUUAUAGAUGAUAAUGGUCAAUUUCUUGUUAUGAAAAUAAUAUGCAUUCUUAAGGGCGAUGUUGUAAAAAGAAAUUUGGAUACUAUGUGUGAAGUUUUGUAUGUAUUGAAUAGAAAUUAUGGUGAACAUUUAAGUAGAUGGUUUCAUGAUAUUGUAACAGUACAAAAUAUAGUAAUACCAAAUGUAACAGAACAAAUGAAAUCUAAAUUUUUCAAACGUGUACUUAAAGAAAGAAGCAAUAAAAAAACUUUACAAGUUGUAGUAAGAGAAUUUUCAUUUAUUUGUCGAGGUUUAAUUCUAAUAGAUCCGACAGAAUGAAUAUAUUAAAUGCAUUAAAAGCUGCUUUCAAGUCUGUACAUUCAGUAGCUAAGUAUGGCCGUCGUUCUUCCUUGCCACCAUGUUCCUUCACCUGAGCUGCUCUCCACCGAGCCAAAGUAGUCCUAUGAAUAACAAAAAUAUAAUAAAUUAUUAAGGACUUAGGUUCGGUGCAGUCUAAGAUCGUAUACCAGUACCCGUAUACCAAUAACAUUGGCCACACUGAACUGAGAAAAUUCCCCUAUGAGAACUUUACAAUGUAAGCAGUGUCACCACACACAAUAUACGCGGCUAAAUUGAACCGUAAGAAGAACAUGUGCAUAGUGCUUAUUAGUUAUUUGUGCAAUUGUGCAUAUUAUUUUCUUGUAUUGCAGCUGCUAUUGUUAUGUUCUGUAUUGAAUGUAGUAAAGUAAACUAAAAUAUCGACUAGUAA